RNAcentral lists this ribosomal RNA (499 nucleotides) under uncultured bacterium. RNAcentral's name for it is "partial 16S ribosomal RNA". It matches the Rfam family "Bacterial small subunit ribosomal RNA", at positions 30 to 523 of the family's 1533-position model. The record is from RNAcentral.
AUUGAACGCUGGCGGCAUGCCUACACAUGCAAGUCGAACGGCAGCACGGGGGCAACCUUGGUGGCGAGUGGCGAACGGGUGAGUAAUAUAUCGGAACGUGCCCUAGAGUGGGGGAUAACGUAGCGAAAGUUACGCUAAUACCGCAUACGAUCUACGGAUGAAAGUGGGGGACCGCAAGGCCUCAUGCUCGUGGAGCGGCCGAUAUCUGAUUAGCUAGUUGGUGGGGUAAAGGCCUACCAAGGCGACGAUCAGUAGCUGGUCUGAGAGGACGACCAGCCACACUGGGACUGAGACACGGCCCAGACUCCUACGGGAGGCAGCAGUGGGGAAUUUUGGACAAUGGGGGCAACCCUGAUCCAGCAAUGCCGCGUGAGUGAAGAAGGCCUUCGGGUUGUAAAGCUCUUUUGUCAGGGAAGAAACGGUGAGGGCUAAUAUCCUUUGCUAAUGACGGUACCUGAAGAAUAAGCACCGGCUAACUACGUGCCAGCCGCCGCGGUAA